RNAcentral lists this ribosomal RNA (447 nucleotides) under uncultured bacterium. Its description in RNAcentral is "bacterial SSU rRNA". It matches the Rfam family "Bacterial small subunit ribosomal RNA", at positions 328 to 792 of the family's 1533-position model. The record is from RNAcentral.
AUUCCAGACUCCUACGGGAGGCAGCAGUGGGGAAUAUUGCACAAUGGGGGAAACCCUGAUGCAGCGACGCCGCGUGAGCGAUGAAGUAUUUCGGUAUGUAAAGCUCUAUCAGCAGGGAAGAAGAUGACGGUACCUGACUAAGAAGCCCCGGCUAACUACGUGCCAGCAGCCGCGGUAAUACGUAGGGGGCAAGCGUUAUCCGGAUUUACUGGGUGUAAAGGGAGCGUAGACGGCGAUGCAAGCCAGAUGUGAAAGCCCGGGGCUCAACCCCGGGACUGCAUUUGGAACUGUGUGGCUGGAGUGUCGGAGAGGCAGGCGGAAUUCCUAGUGUAGCGGUGAAAUGCGUAGAUAUUAGGAGGAACACCAGUGGCGAAGGCGGCUUACUGGACUGUAACUGACGUUGAGGCUCGAAAGCGUGGGGAGCAAACAGGAUUAGAUACCCCUGUA